CACUAAGUGCUCGUAUACUAAGUAAACGGUUCGAAUGGAAAUGUUCAACGAAAAAACGUUCGUUAAAAUGUGCUCUAUGGUUCGAGAGAAGAGACAGAAAAUAAACGUUGCGACACCCCGCUUAAUACGUAUCCUUGAAUUAAAAAAAUUAUUUUUUGGUUUUUCCAUUUAGACAGAGAGGUAAUCUGUGUAUAUAGAGGCAUACUGGAUCAAAAAGACCAUUUGAGCGUUGUAUGCAGCAAAUUUGUAAAAGUCCUUCAUUGUCCUUAACUCAAACAAAAAUUAGUCCGGGCUUGACUGUAUUUAUUACAGACGUGCUUGGCUAUCUGUUGAGUUGACUGGUUUGCGCCAAAACAAUCAAUAGAGAAACAAUCACAGAUGGCGCUAGAUUGACCAUACACACCAUACACAGUAAAAUGACUAUGUCAAAUAAGUAUUGACAGCGUUUGACGUUAAUGAAUGUAAACAAAAAGGAACAGCUGAAUUUUUUUAAACAUAUAAAGACUGUUGAUUCAAGAAUUUUUUCUUGCAAUUUGCUGGGUUUCAACUCUACUGAUCGUAGUUUUGGUCAUCACAACAGUUCUCCUAUACGCAGCCUGGAAACUGUUGAUCAACCGUUUCACAAUAUCCGGAAGAGUCGCGCCAACUAAGACAUCAAAUCAACCGAAGGAUAUGCGGUUGAGGUCAAAUGUAAAUAAAUUUUGUGUACAGCGCUCGUUCUGUGUGUUGAGAAUUGUAUAUAUUUUGUGAAAUCCGCAUGUCAUAUAAUCAUGGCAAUAACUUGUACUGAAUAUGGCAACGCUCAGCCGUCUUCAUCCCAUUCGGAUAAUUGCCAAAUGGAAGAUGCACAUGCACAAUCACUCAUACAACUAUCUAACAACAACACCAUCAGCAACAACACCAUAACCAUUCGGUUUCUGAAUUUUGCCGACUGUGAGUCGGCGAAUGAUUGGACCUUGAUAAUGAUACUUAUUUUAGGCAUAGCAAUGUCUUGUUUCAUAGGCUUUGUCAUUGUCAUAUUCACAAAAUAAAAUGAAUU
This is a long non-coding RNA of Bradysia coprophila, 1039 nucleotides long. RefSeq lists it as uncharacterized. Lineage: Eukaryota; Metazoa; Arthropoda; Insecta; Diptera; Sciaridae. The record is from RefSeq and is a predicted model, not a curated record.